This 484-nucleotide ribosomal RNA is filed under the name uncultured bacterium. RNAcentral's name for it is "partial 16S ribosomal RNA". It matches the Rfam family "Bacterial small subunit ribosomal RNA", at positions 30 to 507 of the family's 1533-position model. The record is from RNAcentral.
AUUGAACGCUGGCGGCAGGCCUAACACAUGCAAGUCGAGCGGAUGAAGGGAGCUUGCUCCUGGAUUCAGCGGCGGACGGGUGAGUAAUGCCUAGGAAUCUGCCUGGUAGUGGGGGAUAACGUCCGGAAACGGGCGCUAAUACCGCAUACGUCCUGAGGGAGAAAGUGGGGGAUCUUCGGACCUCACGCUAUCAGAUGAGCCUAGGUCGGAUUAGCUAGUUGGUGGGGUAAAGGCCUACCAAGGCGACGAUCCGUAACUGGUCUGAGAGGAUGAUCAGUCACACUGGAGCUGAGACACGGUCCAGACUCCUACGGGAGGCAGCAGUGGGGAAUAUUGGACAAUGGGCGAAAGCCUGAUCCAGCCAUGCCGCGUGUGUGAAGAAGGUCUUCGGAUUGUAAAGCACUUUAAGUUGGGAGGAAGGGCAGUAAGUUGAUACCUUGCUGUUUUGACGUUACCGACAGAAUAAGCACCGGCUAACUUCGUG